CCUACGGGAGGCAGCAGUGGGGAAUUUUGGACAAUGGGCGAAAGCCUGAUCCAGCAAUGCCGCGUGUGGGAAGAAGGCCUUCGGGUUGUAAACCACUUUUGUACGGAACGAAACGGCUCGCUUUAAUACAGUGGGCUAAUGACGGUACCGUAAGAAUAAGCACCGGCUAACUACGUGCCAGCAGCCGCGGUAAUACGUAGGGUGCGAGCGUUAAUCGGAAUUACUGGGCGUAAAGCGUGCGCAGGCGGUUAUAUAAGACAGUUGUGAAAUCCCCGGGCUCAACCUGGGAAUUGCAUCUGUGACUGUAUAGCUAGAGUACGGUAGAGGGGGAUGGAAUUCCGCGUGUAGCAGUGAAAUGCGUAGAUAUGCGGAGGAACACCGAUGGCGAAGGCAAUCCCCUGGACCUGUACUGACGCUCAUGCACGAAAGCGUGGGGAGGCAAACAGGAUUAGAUACCCUGGUAGUCCACGCCCUAAACGAUGUCAACUGGUUGUUGGGUGCAUUAGUACUCAGUAACGAAGCUAACGCGUGAAGUUGACAGCCUGGGGAGUACGGCCGCAAGGUUGAAACUCAAAGGAAAUUGACGG
RNAcentral lists this ribosomal RNA (587 nucleotides) under uncultured bacterium. RNAcentral describes it as "bacterial SSU rRNA". It matches the Rfam family "Bacterial small subunit ribosomal RNA", at positions 338 to 916 of the family's 1533-position model. The record is from RNAcentral.